UGCAUUAAUGGCUCAGUCCAACCCUGUGCACUUGCAGCUUCACCCCACAGCACGACAUACGCGCACCGCCACCACAGUGCGCUAGACAAAGAGGGCACUAGCUGGGCAGGGCCUGGCCGAUCAGCUUAGACGUCGCACGACAGGGCCGGCUUCCAUUUAAACUCGUCCCUGGCGGGAGUUGUUGAGUGGGGCCAUUUGAAAAAGUGCGCAGACAAAAACUUUGAAUAGGCAUAAAUAAGCGAAAAGCGUUCGCGAAAAACACCGCUGGAAAACCGCAGGGCCCCGAAGUAGAAGCAAAUGCGGGAAGUUCUCGGCAGUUGGUGAUUGGCGCGUUCGCCAUGCCGGCCAGAACAGGCGGGUUUAUACCAGCAGGGCGCCGGCGCCUGCAGAAGGCGCCGCCAAGCAACGGGGCGCGCUUUGCGGCAUUCAGUGCUCCGCGCGCCGCUCGAAUUGGCGCAAAUGAGAGACGCGCCACGCUCCCCAAGCCCGCGUCCCUUGUGAAAGACGCCCGAUCUCGACCGCCCCUUCGGUUUAAUGGCCGAUCACCAUGGCGACCAGGAUGUGGAGGCCAUCACGGCGCAACGGCGGCUCGACUGCUACCAGAACGUCAGCCAGGCGACGCCCCCUUCGGCGGUUUUCUGUCCCGUUCUGUUCGAUGGUUGGUCCUGCUGGCCGGCCACGGAGGCGGGG
Molecule: long non-coding RNA, 690 nt
Organism: Dendroctonus ponderosae (mountain pine beetle)
Lineage: Eukaryota; Metazoa; Arthropoda; Insecta; Coleoptera; Curculionidae
Exons: 3
Source: RefSeq, a predicted model, not a curated record